AANAUGCAGUCGAACGGUAGCAGGAAGGAAGCUUGCUUUCUUUGCUGACGAGUGGCGGACGGGUGAGUAAUNCUUGGGAAUCUGGCUUAUGGAGGGGGAUAACUGCGGGAAACUGCAGCUAAUACCGCGUAANGUCUUUGGACUAAAGGGGGCGUUUGCUCUUGCCAUAAGAUGAGCCCAAGUGGGAUUAGGUAGUUGGUGGGGUAAUGGCUCACCAAGCCGUCGAUCUCUAGCUGGUCUGAGAGGAUGACCAGCCACACCGGGACUGAGACACGGCCCGGACUCCUACGGGAGGCAGCAGUGGGGAAUAUUGCGCAAUGGGGGGAACCCUGACGCAGCCAUGCCGCGUGAAUGAAGAAGGCCUUCGGGUUGUAAAGUUCUUUCGGUGAUGAGGAAGGCAGUUUGGUUAAUAGCCAAGCUGAUUGACGUUAGUCACAGAAGAAGCACCGGCUAACUCCGUGCCAGCAGCCGCGGUAAUACGGAGGGUGCGAGCGUUAAUCGGAAUAACUGGGCGUAAAGGGCACGCAGGCGGAUUUUUAAGUGAGGUGUGAAAGCCCCGGGCUUAACCUGGGAAUUGCAUUUCAGACUGGGAAUCUAGAGUACUUUAGGGAGGGGUAGAAUUCCACGUGUAGCGGUGAAAUGCGUAGAGAUGUGGAGGAAUACCGAAGGCGAAGGCAGCCCCUUGGGAAUGUACUGACGCUCAUGUGCGAAAGCGUGGGGAGCAAACAGGAUUAGAUACCCUGGUAGUCCACGCUGUAAACGCUGUCGAUUUGGGGGUUGGGGUUUAACUCUGACGCCCGUAGCUAACGUGAUAAAUCGACCGCCUGGGGAGUACGGCCGCAAGGUUAAAACUCAAAUGAAUUGACGGGGGCCCGCACAAGCGGUGGAGCAUGUGGUUUAAUUCGAUGCAACGCGAAGAACCUUACCUACUCUUGACAUCCAGAGAAUCCUGUAGAGAUACGGGAGUGCCUUCGGGAGCUUUGAGACAGGUGCUGCAUGGCUGUCGUCAGCUCGUGUUGUGAAAUGUUGGGUUAAGUCCCGCAACGAGCGCAACCCUUAUCCUUUGUUGCCAGCGAUACGGUCGGGAA
Molecule: ribosomal RNA, 1088 nt
Rfam family: Bacterial small subunit ribosomal RNA